UUAAGUCUUGACCAAUUUACGUGCCAGCAGUCGCGGCAACACGCAGAAGACAAGUGUUAUUCAUCUUUAAUCGGUUUAAAGGGUACCUAGACAGGAAAUCAAGCCAUAGUAGGGACUAAUUUUCUAGAGUUUUAUGGAAAAAAGUCGAAUAUCUGGAGUAGAGAUAAAAUAUGUUAAUACCAGAUAGACGGGUAACGGCGUAGGCAACUUUUUAUGUAAAAACUGACGUUGAGGGACGAAGCCCUGGGUAACGAUAAGGAUUAGAUACCCCAGUAGUCCAGGGAGACAAUUAUGAGUGUCAUAAGCUAAAUAAUUUAGUUUAUAAAUGAAAGUGCAAGCACUCCACCUUAAGACUAAAGCGGCAACGCCCAAAUUGAAAUCAUUAGACCGUUCCUGAAACCAGUAGUGAAGUAUGUUAUUUAAUUCGAUGAUCCGCGAAUAACCUUACCACGUUUUGAAUACUAUUCAAUUAAUACAAGCGCUGCACGGCUGUCUUUAGUUAAUGUCGUGAGAUUUUGGUUAACUCCUUUAAUUAACGAAAACCCCUGGU
RNAcentral lists this ribosomal RNA (550 nucleotides) under Agonimia koreana. RNAcentral describes it as "SSU rRNA". It matches the Rfam family "Bacterial small subunit ribosomal RNA", at positions 486 to 1110 of the family's 1533-position model. The record is from RNAcentral. Lineage: Eukaryota; Fungi; Ascomycota; Eurotiomycetes; Verrucariales; Verrucariaceae.